Molecule: ribosomal RNA, 404 nt
Filed under: uncultured Rhodospirillaceae bacterium
Lineage: Bacteria; Pseudomonadati; Pseudomonadota; Alphaproteobacteria; Rhodospirillales; Rhodospirillaceae
Description: bacterial SSU rRNA
Rfam family: Bacterial small subunit ribosomal RNA
Source: RNAcentral
UGGGGAAUAUUGGACAAUGGGGGCAACCCUGAUCCAGCAAUGCCGCGUGAGUGAAGAAGGCCUUCGGGUUGUAAAGCUCUUUCACCCGCGAAGAUGAUGACGGUAGCGGGAGAAGAAGCCCCGGCUAACUCCGUGCCAGCAGCCGCGGUAAUACGGAGGGGGCUAGCGUUGUUCGGAAUUACUGGGCGUAAAGGGCGUGUAGGCGGCUUUGUAAGUUAGGCGUGAAAGCCCCGGGCUUAACCUGGGAACUGCGCUUAAAACUGCGAGGCUAGAGAUCGGGAGAGGAGAGUGGAAUUCCCAGUGUAGAGGUGAAAUUCGUAGAUAUUGGGAAGAACACCAGUGGCGAAGGCGGCUCUCUGGACCGAUACUGACGCUGAGGCGCGAAAGCGUGGGGAGCAAACAGG